RNAcentral lists this long non-coding RNA (1164 nucleotides) under Homo sapiens (human). RNAcentral describes it as "non-protein coding lnc-CFL1-1:8". The record is from RNAcentral. Lineage: Eukaryota; Metazoa; Chordata; Mammalia; Primates; Hominidae.
GCCUGGCCUAGCAUAUCUCUUUUUUUAAAAAAAGGAGACUGAUGGGGGUUGGGGGGAUGCAAAUUGUGAGUAGAUAGGUGGGAUUGGAGGAGAGUUUGAACAUCUGCUUUAAUCAACUAAAUGGUGUCUUAGAGCUGUCCUGCGGGCAACCAUGUGGCCUCAGAUUUCUGGGACAAUCUCAAUUUCUGGGACAGAGGACUGGCCCACUGGCCCUUUGUUAGGCUACGCAUCAGACCACCACCAAUUUCCAGUUCUGAAAUUGUGGUCACCAGAGAGACCUAUCAGCAGCCAUAGACAUUAUCUCCUUCGGAAUGACUGGACCCAGGCAGCCAGGCAGAGCUGGGGUCCCCAGAGCUCCUGGCACUAGCCGGAAUAUUUCCAGUUCCUCUUCUUCCCUUACAGCACAAGUCCUUUGGUAAUCAUUGCUCAUAUUUGUAGAACCUUAGAGAAUUUUGGAUGUAGCAGGACAGAAAUUGGUUGCCUGCCAUUUUGUGGCUUGGGUGGCAUACAUCUUGUUUGGCAAUUAAAAAAAAAAGAUGAGAAGAAAAUGGGAUAUGCAAUGGAGACCAAUUCAAGAAAAAGUGAUUUAUGCCAGUCCUAGCUGAGGCAGAUGAAUUUGGGAAGACUUACUUGUUUUCUAGAAAUAGUCUUCACUUGACCAGAGAUUCAUACUUGGGCGUAUUUAAAUACAGAGCUCUUCUGGAGCAUUUGACUAGAAGGACAGAAAACCAGAGACUAAUUAACCAGUUGUUACCAGCGGGAAAUCCGUUUUUGUUUGUUUGUUUGUUUGUUUGUUUUCUUUUUGAGGCGGAGUCUCGCUCUGUCGCCAGGCUGCAGUGGAGUGGCGUGAUUUUGGCUCACUGUGCAAUCUCUGCCUCCUGGGUUCAAACCAUUCUCCUGCCUCAGCCUUCCAAGUAGCUGGGAUUACAGGUGCACUCCACCACACCCAGCUAAUUUUUGUAUUUUUAGUAGAGACGGGGUUUCACCAUGUUGGCCAGGAUGGUCUCAAUCUCCUGAUCUGGUGAUCUGCCUGCCUUGGCCUCCCAAAGUGCUGGGAUUAUAGGCGUGAGCCACUGCGCCAGGCCAAGAGAUCAGUCUUACAUGAAAAUCAAGGGUUCAGUUACCCAGUGGGUCAGUAAGAGAUGAGGCUUUCAUUUAGAAAAA